This 1276-nucleotide ribosomal RNA is filed under the name metagenome. RNAcentral describes it as "bacterial LSU rRNA". It matches the Rfam family "Bacterial large subunit ribosomal RNA", at positions 1630 to 2925 of the family's 2925-position model. The record is from RNAcentral.
CCUCUAAGGCGCCCGUACCGGAAACCGACACAGGUGGGUGGGUAGAGUAUACCCAGGCGCGUGAGUGAAACCUCGUUAAGGAACUCGGCAAUCUAGCCCCGUAACUUCGGAAGAAGGGGUGCCCACUUUAUGUGGGUCGCAGUGAAAUGGGUGUACCGACUGUUUUAUCAAAAACACAGCACUCUGCUAACUCGAAAGAGAACGUAUAGGGUGUGACACGUGACCAAUGCGGAAAGAUUACGGUAAGUGGUUAGCCGCAAGGCGAAGCUACGAGCCCAAGUCCCCGUGAAUGUCGGCCGUAACAAUAACGGUCCUAAGGUAGCGAAAUUCCUUGUCGGGUAAGUUCCGACCUGCACGAAUCGUGUAACGAGUGCACCGCUGUCUCAACGAGGAGCUCAGCGAAGUUGUAAUGGCGGUGAAGAUGCCGCCUACCCGCAGCAGGACGGAAAGACCCUAUGCACCUUUACUGUACGCUGUUACUGUGUUUUCGGUUUUCAUGCUUAGCGUAAGUGGGAGACUUUGAUACCAGCCUUUCGGGGCUGGUUGAGUCGCCAAUGAAACACCACCCUUGGGGACUGGAAACUCUAACCCUUGCCCAUUAUCUGGGAAGGGGACACUGGCAGCCGGUCAGUUUUACUGGGGCGGUAUCCUCCCAAAGAGUAACGGAGGAGUGCGAAGUUUGGCUCAGCCUGGUUGGCAAUCAGGUGACGAGUAUAUGGAUAUAAGCCAGACUAACUGUGAGACCUACAAGUCGAGCAGAUGCGAAAGCAGGCCCAAGUGAUCCGGUGGUUGAAAGUGGAAUCGCCAUCGCUCAACGGACAAAAGGUACGCUAGGGAUAACAGGCUGAUCGAGUCCAAGAGCUCAUAUCGACGACUCGGUUUGGCACCUCGAUGUCGGCUCAUCACAUCCUGGGGCUGGAGAAGGUCCCAAGGGUCCGGCUGUUCGCCGGUUAAAGUGGUACGCGAGCUGGGUUCAGAACGUCGCGAGACAGUUCGGUCCUUAUCCGCUGUGGGCGCAGGAAAGUUGAGGGGUUUAAACCUUAGUACGAGAGGACCGGGUUUAACGAACCUCUGGUGUUCCGGUUGUCGUGUCAACGGCAGUGCCGGGCAGCUAUGUUCGGAAAGGAUAAGCGCUGAAAGCAUCUAAGCGCCAAGCCUCUCCCAAGAUUGACUUUCCCUGAAGAGUCGUGGCAGACUACCACGUUGAUAGGCCAAAGGUAGAAGCGCAGUAAUGCGUGCAGCUUAUUGGUACUAAUAACUCGUCCGGCUUGAUCCA